UACGGGGGGAGCAAGCGUUGUUCGGAUUUACUGGGCGUAAAGGGCGCGUAGGCGGUCAGCACAAGUCAGUUGUGAAAUCUCCGGGCUUAACUCGGAAAGGUCAACUGAUACUGUGCGACUAGAGUGCGGAAGGGGCAACUGGAAUUCUCGGUGUAGCGGUGAAAUGCGCAGAUAUCAGGAGGAACACCGGUGGCGAAGGCGGGUCUCUGGGCAAUAACUGACGCUGAGGAGCGAAAGCGUGGGGAGCGAACAGG
Molecule: ribosomal RNA, 254 nt
Filed under: uncultured bacterium
Lineage: Bacteria
Description: partial 16S ribosomal RNA
Rfam family: Bacterial small subunit ribosomal RNA
Source: RNAcentral